Molecule: ribosomal RNA, 454 nt
Filed under: uncultured bacterium
Lineage: Bacteria
Description: bacterial SSU rRNA
Rfam family: Bacterial small subunit ribosomal RNA
Source: RNAcentral
UACGGAAGGCAGCAGUGGGGAAUAUUGCGCAAUGGGCGCAAGCCUGAUGCAGCCAUGCCGCGUGUAUGAAGAAGGCCUUCGGGUUGUAAAGUACUUUCAGUCGUGAGGAAGGUGUUAAGGUUAAUAACCUUAGCAAUUGACGUUAGCGACAGAAGAAGCACCGGCUAACUCCGUGCCAGCAGCCGCGGUAAUACGGAGGGUGCGAGCGUUAAUCGGAAUUACUGGGCGUAAAGGGCACGCAGGCGGUUAAUUAAGUUGGAUGUGAAAUCCCCGGGCUUAACCUGGGAAUGGCAUUCAAGACUGGUUAGCUAGAGUCUUGUAGAGGGGGUAGAAUUCCAUGUGUAGCGGUGAAAUGCGUAGAGAUGUGGAGGAAUACCGGUGGCGAAGGCGGCCCCUGGACAAAGACUGACGCUCAUGUGCGAAAGCGUGGGGAGCGAAACAGGGAUUAGAUACC